Molecule: long non-coding RNA, 279 nt
Filed under: Oryza brachyantha (malo sina)
Lineage: Eukaryota; Viridiplantae; Streptophyta; Magnoliopsida; Poales; Poaceae
Description: long non-coding RNA (OBRA_LNC001101)
Source: RNAcentral
UAGAAAUGGAUUCUUAUAUGGCGUCAUCAUCAGAUAAUGGCAUUUUGGUACUUUUGUCAUGUUUUUUCUCCCAAACCAACAAAAAUUAUAAAAUAAUGUCGCUGGUGUCCAAUGGUUAAUUAUCAUUUUUUGCGGUGCAUUUCGGCCAAAACGCGAUCUUACGGUGUCCUCCAACAAAGAGUGCAAACUUUGAGUGUCCUGUAGUAAAUUUUGCCUAAAAUUUAAGUUUUAGAUUAUAACUCAAACCCAAACCCAAAGAUAGACCACAGGAAGAUCAGG